This is a long non-coding RNA of Homo sapiens (human), 2118 nucleotides long. Ensembl annotates it as metastasis associated lung adenocarcinoma transcript 1. Its record names the gene MALAT1. The record is from Ensembl. NCBI's taxonomy places the organism in Eukaryota, Metazoa, Chordata, Mammalia, Primates, Hominidae.
AGGCAUUGAGGCAGCCAGCGCAGGGGCUUCUGCUGAGGGGGCAGGCGGAGCUUGAGGAAACCGCAGAUAAGUUUUUUUCUCUUUGAAAGAUAGAGAUUAAUACAACUACUUAAAAAAUAUAGUCAAUAGGUUACUAAGAUAUUGCUUAGCGUUAAGUUUUUAACGUAAUUUUAAUAGCUUAAGAUUUUAAGAGAAAAUAUGAAGACUUAGAAGAGUAGCAUGAGGAAGGAAAAGAUAAAAGGUUUCUAAAACAUGACGGAGGUUGAGAUGAAGCUUCUUCAUGGAGUAAAAAAUGUAUUUAAAAGAAAAUUGAGAGAAAGGACUACAGAGCCCCGAAUUAAUACCAAUAGAAGGGCAAUGCUUUUAGAUUAAAAUGAAGGUGACUUAAACAGCUUAAAGUUUAGUUUAAAAGUUGUAGGUGAUUAAAAUAAUUUGAAGGCGAUCUUUUAAAAAGAGAUUAAACCGAAGGUGAUUAAAAGACCUUGAAAUCCAUGACGCAGGGAGAAUUGCGUCAUUUAAAGCCUAGUUAACGCAUUUACUAAACGCAGACGAAAAUGGAAAGAUUAAUUGGGAGUGGUAGGAUGAAACAAUUUGGAGAAGAUAGAAGUUUGAAGUGGAAAACUGGAAGACAGAAGUACGGGAAGGCGAAGAAAAGAAUAGAGAAGAUAGGGAAAUUAGAAGAUAAAAACAUACUUUUAGAAGAAAAAAGAUAAAUUUAAACCUGAAAAGUAGGAAGCAGAAGAAAAAAGACAAGCUAGGAAACAAAAAGCUAAGGGCAAAAUGUACAAACUUAGAAGAAAAUUGGAAGAUAGAAACAAGAUAGAAAAUGAAAAUAUUGUCAAGAGUUUCAGAUAGAAAAUGAAAAACAAGCUAAGACAAGUAUUGGAGAAGUAUAGAAGAUAGAAAAAUAUAAAGCCAAAAAUUGGAUAAAAUAGCACUGAAAAAAUGAGGAAAUUAUUGGUAACCAAUUUAUUUUAAAAGCCCAUCAAUUUAAUUUCUGGUGGUGCAGAAGUUAGAAGGUAAAGCUUGAGAAGAUGAGGGUGUUUACGUAGACCAGAACCAAUUUAGAAGAAUACUUGAAGCUAGAAGGGGAAGUUGGUUAAAAAUCACAUCAAAAAGCUACUAAAAGGACUGGUGUAAUUUAAAAAAAACUAAGGCAGAAGGCUUUUGGAAGAGUUAGAAGAAUUUGGAAGGCCUUAAAUAUAGUAGCUUAGUUUGAAAAAUGUGAAGGACUUUCGUAACGGAAGUAAUUCAAGAUCAAGAGUAAUUACCAACUUAAUGUUUUUGCAUUGGACUUUGAGUUAAGAUUAUUUUUUAAAUCCUGAGGACUAGCAUUAAUUGACAGCUGACCCAGGUGCUACACAGAAGUGGAUUCAGUGAAUCUAGGAAGACAGCAGCAGACAGGAUUCCAGGAACCAGUGUUUGAUGAAGCUAGGACUGAGGAGCAAGCGAGCAAGCAGCAGUUCGUGGUGAAGAUAGGAAAAGAGUCCAGGAGCCAGUGCGAUUUGGUGAAGGAAGCUAGGAAGAAGGAAGGAGCGCUAACGAUUUGGUGGUGAAGCUAGGAAAAAGGAUUCCAGGAAGGAGCGAGUGCAAUUUGGUGAUGAAGGUAGCAGGCGGCUUGGCUUGGCAACCACACGGAGGAGGCGAGCAGGCGUUGUGCGUAGAGGAUCCUAGACCAGCAUGCCAGUGUGCCAAGGCCACAGGGAAAGCGAGUGGUUGGUAAAAAUCCGUGAGGUCGGCAAUAUGUUGUUUUUCUGGAACUUACUUAUGAUAACAUCUUCUGAGUCAUAACCAGCCUGGCAGUAUGAUGGCCUAGAUGCAGAGAAAACAGCUCCUUGGUGAAUUGAUAAGUAAAGGCAGAAAAGAUUAUAUGUCAUACCUCCAUUGGGGAAUAAGCAUAACCCUGAGAUUCUUACUACUGAUGAGAACAUUAUCUGCAUAUGCCAAAAAAUUUUAAGCAAAUGAAAGCUACCAAUUUAAAGUUACGGAAUCUACCAUUUUAAAGUUAAUUGCUUGUCAAGCUAUAACCACAAAAAUAAUGAAUUGAUGAGAAAUACAAUGAAGAGGCAAUGUCCAUCUCAAAAUACUGCUUUUACAAAAGCAGAAUAAAAGCGAAAA